Molecule: long non-coding RNA, 833 nt
Organism: Engraulis encrasicolus (European anchovy)
Lineage: Eukaryota; Metazoa; Chordata; Actinopteri; Clupeiformes; Engraulidae
Exons: 3
Source: RefSeq, a predicted model, not a curated record
UCCAUAAUCCUUGGUGUUGUCUGACCUGGUAGGCAACAUUAUUUUAGCUGGAAAGUGAUUUGAUGGUGUAUUUCAAAGCAUUUUAUUGCGCCCAAAAACACCUCUCAGGAGAACUAAGCGGUUUGUCCAUAAUGUUUAUGAGGUUUGCACUGAUUGGCUCAGCUGUUGCUAGAGAACCACGUCAUUGUGGAGAACAUGUUCUACUGAGGACUCACAGGCUGCUCUCAGCCUUUGAGAUAAAAGAAAAGAAAAAUAAGCGUCGCCGAAUUGGCUAAAAUUACCUAAUGUUAAAAUGAUUGUGCUGGAUACUCCACAGUCCACACUGGCGCAGAUUUAAUAAUGUACAAAACCUUAUUGUAUUCUGCGCCACUAGAUGGCAUAUUGGGGCAUACGGAUCCUGGGAGGAGAAGAAGAAGAAGUGCAUGUUGUUGCUGCUAGCUACGUACUCACUCUGCCUGCGGUGGAUUGUUUUAUUCCGUGUCAAUUUAAAACUACUUCAGUAAAUGUAUUAACUUUACACCGAGCCUCUUCAUUGCCUACUGCAAAACAACUUUUUGCACCAGUUCGUCACUGAUGGCUUAUCAACGCGGCGGCAUCCUCAUCAUGGCACAGGUUCAUCAGAGUCAGGUGGUCAGCACCCAAACUAAAACCAUGGGUCAUGGUGAAGAAGGAUGAGAGACUGUUCUAUGUGCCCAGGGUUCGUCAGGAUGGUGUCUAAGAAUUACAUCCUAGCAGCACAGAACAGGAAGCCAUCGUGAAGAAGUUGCCGGAGAGGCUUCGCUUGGCCUUUGCCAGCACCUCACUAUCAGUGAUGCUGGUCUCCUUAUCCACCG